Molecule: long non-coding RNA, 769 nt
Filed under: Homo sapiens (human)
Lineage: Eukaryota; Metazoa; Chordata; Mammalia; Primates; Hominidae
Description: HSALNT0281993
Source: RNAcentral
AGAAGAGAUGAGGGGAAGGAAAGGUUGCUGGAAACUAGAAUGAGAGAGAAUCCUGUAGAGCAGGCCCAUUGAGAGGAACAGAUCUUCCGCAACAGGGCCAGGCCAAGGCAACAUCACAGGAGGGAGUCCUGGGAAUAAAAGCCUGAGCACAUUUACCUAUUUCCUUGUCAUCUUGCCAACAUUUUCACAGGUGCCUUUAUCUUCUGGCUUCCAAUCUAUACAGAUCAGCAUCUCUGGACAGGGAGAGACUUUCAAAGGUGUCGGAUUAUCAGUUAAACCUUCCUAGAUCUGGAUGAGGUGGCCUAGCUGCAUCAAUGCAGAUUUUCUCUCCUGAUGCAAAUCCCUUCACAAAAGACAGCUUUGCAGGGAUACUUUUGUUUUCUGAUUGUCUGAAUAUCCAUGUCAAAAUACGUCAAAGAAGUAUAUUUUAGUGUAACAUAUUUUCAUUUCCUUGACCAUCCUCUACUCCAGGAAGCCCUCAUAACCUUUGGACUAAAUUAGCCUCCCUUCUCUUUAUAUGGGACCUGGCUCAUACCUGUACUGUAUUAUCCAAAAUAUACUGUAAUUGCAUGGUUGAACCUGGGAACCAUAUCUUAUUUGACUUUCUGUCUCUAGUACUCAUUUUAGUCUCUGAAAUAAAGAAGGCUUCACAUUUUACAAUAAGACAAAGAACUUACUUGUUUCCCAAAAAUGUUGCAAGGCAACCUUUCUUCCUUUUUUGGAUAGAGUUUUUUCCCUUAUAUUUUAUGAUAAAGAAAGGGGUUUCCCU